AGUCGAACGGGGUAGCAAUACCUAGUGGCGGACGGGUGAGUAACGCGUGGGAAUCCACCUUUAGGAUGGGGACAACAAGAGGAAACUCUUGCUAAUACCCAAUGAGCCGAAAGGUAAAAGUAAUUCGCCUAAAGAGGAGCUCGCGUCCGAUUAGUUAGUUGGUGGGGUAAAGGCCUACCAAGGCAGCGAUCGGUAGCUGGUCUGAGAGGAUGAGCAGCCACACUGGGACUGAGACACGGCCCAGACUCCUACGGGAGGCAGCAGUGGGGAAUUUUCCGCAAUGGGCGAAAGCCUGACGGAGCAAUACCGCGUGAGGGAGGAAGGCUCUUGGGUUGUAAACCUCUUUUCUUAGGGAAGAAACCUGACGGUACCUAAGGAAUCAGCAUCGGCUAACUCCGUGCCAGCAGCCGCGGUAAUACGGAGGAUGCAAGCGUUAUCCGGAAUUAUUGGGCGUAAAGCGUCCGUAGGUGGCAUUUCAAGUCUGCCGUUAAAGCCCGAAGCUUAACUUUGGAAAAGCGGUGGAAACUGAGAAGCUAGAGUGCGGUAGGGGUAGAGGGAAUUCCCAGUGUAGCGGUGAAAUGCGUAGAGAUUGGGAAGAACACCGGUGGCGAAAGCGCUCUACUGGGCCGCAACUGACACUGAUGGACGAAAGCUAGGGGAGCGA
RNAcentral lists this ribosomal RNA (664 nucleotides) under uncultured bacterium. RNAcentral's name for it is "bacterial SSU rRNA". It matches the Rfam family "Bacterial small subunit ribosomal RNA", at positions 60 to 771 of the family's 1533-position model. The record is from RNAcentral.